RNAcentral lists this ribosomal RNA (397 nucleotides) under uncultured bacterium. RNAcentral's name for it is "partial 16S ribosomal RNA". It matches the Rfam family "Bacterial small subunit ribosomal RNA", at positions 523 to 918 of the family's 1533-position model. The record is from RNAcentral.
AUACGAAGGGUGCAAGCGUUACUCGGAAUUACUGGGCGUAAAGCGUGCGUAGGUGGUUGUUUAAGUCUGUCGUGAAAGCCAUGGGCUCAACCUGGGAAUGGCGAUGGAAACUGGGCGACUAGAGUGUGGCAGAGGGUAGUGGAAUUCCUGGUGUAGCAGUGAAAUGCGUAGAGAUCAGGAGGAACAUCCGUGGCGAAGGCGACUGCCUGGGCCAACACUGACACUGAGGCACGAAAGCGUGGGGAGCAAACAGGAUUAGAUACCCUGGUAGUCCACGCCCUAAACGAUGCGAACUGGAUGUUGGGUGCAAUUUGGCACGCAGUAUCGAAGCUAACGCGUUAAGUUCGCCGCCUGGGGAGUACGGUCGCAAGACUGAAACUCAAAUGAAUUGACGGGG